CAUUGAGAAGCUGUAGCUAGCGACAGCCUUUUAAGCUGUAGACAGGUGAUUCCAACCGCCCUUAAUGA
Molecule: transfer RNA, 68 nt
Filed under: Amolops tuberodepressus
Lineage: Eukaryota; Metazoa; Chordata; Amphibia; Anura; Ranidae
Description: tRNA-Lys
Rfam family: tRNA
About the family: Transfer RNA (tRNA) molecules are approximately 80 nucleotides in length.
Source: RNAcentral